This 460-nucleotide ribosomal RNA is filed under the name uncultured bacterium. Its description in RNAcentral is "partial 16S ribosomal RNA". It matches the Rfam family "Bacterial small subunit ribosomal RNA", at positions 338 to 795 of the family's 1533-position model. The record is from RNAcentral.
CCUACGGGAGGCAGCAGUGAGGAAUAUUGGUCAAUGGACGCGAGCCUGAACCAGCCAAGUAGCGUGAAGGAUGACUGCCCUACGGGUUGUAAACUUCUUUUAUAAAGGAAUAAAGUGAGGCACGUGUGCCUUUUUGUAUGUACUUUAUGAAUAAGGAUCGGCUAACUCCGUGCCAGCAGCCGCGGUAAUACGGAGGAUCCGAGCGUUAUCCGGAUUUAUUGGGUUUAAAGGGAGCGUAGAUGGGUUGUUAAGUCAGUUGUGAAAGUUUGCGGCUCAACGGUAAAAUUGCAAUUGAUACUGGUAGUCUAGAGAACAGUUGAGGUAGGCGGAAUUCGUGGUGUAGCGGUGAAAUGCUUAGAGAUCAUGAAGAACACCGAUUGCGAAGGCAGCUUACUAAACUGCCACUGACAUUGAUGCUCGAAAGUGUGGGGAUCAAACAGGAUUAGAUACCCCUGUAGUC